GCCCGGUUAGCUCAGUUGGUUAGAGCAUUUCCUUGACAUGGAAGAGGUCAGAAGUUCGAGUCUUCUACCGGGCA
This 74-nucleotide transfer RNA is filed under the name Endomicrobium sp. Its description in RNAcentral is "tRNA-Val". It matches the Rfam family "tRNA". Rfam says of the family: Transfer RNA (tRNA) molecules are approximately 80 nucleotides in length. Their secondary structure includes four short double-helical elements and three loops (D, anti-codon, and T loops). Lineage: Bacteria; Pseudomonadati; Elusimicrobiota; Endomicrobiia; Endomicrobiales; Endomicrobiaceae. The record is from RNAcentral.